AUGCUUCUUACAUGCAUGCUAGGCAAUUUUGACUGGUGCGGCGGUGCCGGAACCACCUCCGCAGGGUACAACAGAUGUGGCCAUGCUUGAAGUCAGAAUCACCACGUUGACUGUAGUGGCCACACCCAGGUGUUGUAGUUAUCCAAGAAAUCAUGUGACCAUCUCCCGCUGUUCAAUAUUAUAUAUAUUUGGCCAUCCUGCUA
Long non-coding RNA from Hordeum vulgare subsp. vulgare (domesticated barley), 203 nucleotides. RefSeq lists it as uncharacterized. NCBI's taxonomy places the organism in Eukaryota, Viridiplantae, Streptophyta, Magnoliopsida, Poales, Poaceae. The transcript has 2 exons. The record is from RefSeq and is a predicted model, not a curated record.